This 253-nucleotide ribosomal RNA is filed under the name uncultured bacterium. RNAcentral describes it as "partial 16S ribosomal RNA". It matches the Rfam family "Bacterial small subunit ribosomal RNA", at positions 524 to 776 of the family's 1533-position model. The record is from RNAcentral.
UACAGAGGUCCCAAGCGUUGUUCGGAUUUACUGGGCGUAAAGGGUGCGUAGGCGGUGGGGUAAGUUUGAGGUGAAAGCUCCGGGCUCAACCCGGAAAAUGCCUUGAAAACUAUCCGGCUAGAGGGUUGGAGGGGAGACUGGAAUUCUCGGUGUAGCGGUGAAAUGCGUAGAUAUCGAGAGGAACACCUGCGGCGAAGGCGGGUUGCUGGGCUGAUACUGACGCUGAGGCGCGAAAGCCAGGGGAGCGAACGGG